Molecule: ribosomal RNA, 478 nt
Filed under: uncultured bacterium
Lineage: Bacteria
Description: partial 16S ribosomal RNA
Rfam family: Bacterial small subunit ribosomal RNA
Source: RNAcentral
GAUGAACGCUGGCGGAGUGCUUAACACAUGCAAGUCGAACGGGAAACCUUUUAAUGACACAUAGGCAGAAAAAGCUGGUUUCUAAAAGAGGACGGGUGAGUAACGCGUGGGUAACCUGCCUUAUACAGGGGGAUAACAGUCAGAAAUGGCUGCUAAUACCGCAUAAGCGCACAGAGCUGCAUGGCUCAGUGUGAAAAACUCCGGUGGUAUAAGAUGGACCCGCGUUGGAUUAGCUGGUUGGUGGGGUAACGGCCCACCAAGGCGACGAUCCAUAGCCGGCCUGAGAGGGUGAACGGCCACAUUGGGACUGAGACACGGCCCAGACUCCUACGGGAGGCAGCAGUGGGGAAUAUUGCACAAUGGGGGAAACCCUGAUGCAGCGACGCCGCGUGAAGGAAGAAGUAUCUCGUGAUGUAAACUUCUAUCAGCAGGGAAGAUAAUGACGGUACCUGACUAAGAAGCCCCGGCUAACUACGUG